RNAcentral lists this long non-coding RNA (1075 nucleotides) under Salvator merianae (Argentine black and white tegu). RNAcentral describes it as "lncRNA (ENSSMRG00000008830.1)". The record is from RNAcentral. Lineage: Eukaryota; Metazoa; Chordata; Lepidosauria; Squamata; Teiidae.
UAACAUCAAAGAGCUGAACAGAUAACCUACUGCCUGUUAUAUCCCUCACCUUGAUCAGAGAAGUAAACAUGCAAGGUUUAAACCACUAAAGCUACUAUCACAGGGUUGGCCCGUGGUCUCACCUCACCACUCAUCUUCCUGCAUGUGCCGCUUACAACUCUCUGGAGCAUAAGAACCUAAGAGGAGCCCUGCUGGAUCCGGCCACAGCCCAUCUAGUCCAGCAUCCCAUCUCACACAGUGCCCCACCAAUUACUUCUGGGUAUCCCAAGCAGAAGACAGAGGCAAAACCUUCACCUGUUCUCAGAUGGCCUUCAGAGGCAUCCUUGCUUUAGAGCAAGCCUUGCAAGGAUGAUUCCCUCCAGAUUUUGUUAGAACUCCCAAAUCCCAUCAGCUCUAGCAACAAACUCAGAUCAGCCAACAUUUCCUCAGUGAACAAGUCGCCCUGAAUUAUAGGCUUCCUGUCCAGCAUCCUAAAUUCAGGUAUGGAUUGAGCCAUGAGCUUCUGAAAGGAACUCUGUAGAAACCUCUUACUCUGCUCUAUGCUGUGGAGACAAUUUCCUGGCAUCAAGCAGAAUCCCAAUGGACAUCCCAAGAGUGCUUCUUUCAGGAACCUGUAGCUUCCAGAUUCUCCCAUAACUAUUCAUUCAUGCAUGCAUAUUUAUCUGUCCCCACCACCUAUGGUCCUGCAUUUCAGAUGUUGGAGGGUAUGCCUUCGGGAAGACAGGAAUUAUACCACCACAUAUGGCUCUAAAGACCUCUGGCUCUGCUAUCUACUUAGCCUUUGCAGAAUCUGUUCACCCACGACCCCUAAAUGUGCAAGAACAAGCAACAUGCUGGGUUAGGACCUGGGAGAGCACCGUUUAAAUCCCUCGUGCCCAUAGAAGUCGACAAAGCGAUCGCAAGUCAGACGACGCCUCUCACCUUGACUGGCUAUCCACAGGCUUCCUGUAAGCCUAUAAUAAAGCUUGUUUUUUUUACAGGCAGGAAUGGGAAUAUUGUGUACCUCUGCAAGAAUUUCAGCUCCAAUCUACUUCCUGGGUCUUUGGUCACAUUCACCACAUCCAACAAGAGUUAA